This 816-nucleotide long non-coding RNA is filed under the name Brachypodium distachyon (stiff brome). Its description in RNAcentral is "long non-coding RNA (BDIS_LNC004483)". The record is from RNAcentral. Lineage: Eukaryota; Viridiplantae; Streptophyta; Magnoliopsida; Poales; Poaceae.
CUUUGUUGGACGGAGUAAAUAGUAAGUUUUACAAACAACAUGGAACAGAGCAUUGCAAGGAAUCAAAUAUUUUAGUAGCAUUCCUUUCCCUUGUUUGUUUUACGAAAAAUAAAUCUCCGAUGAUGUGAGAGGACACACAAACUCUGAAUCCUACAAGACUAUAAUAGUGACGUCGCUACACGCACUAAUUCAGUAAUCAGAGAACCAGAGUGUGAUAUGCCUAGAUAUGAAUUUCAGCUUCGUUUUUCUGAAAUCUGAUGUUGUGUUGUUAUUGGAAAAAAAUCAUUUUUUGUGCAGACUUACUGCAAAUUUUCAAGUAAAAUACGAAGAACUAAACAAUCUCUGAAUAAGUAUGACUUUCCUAAUUUGGAGCCCUGAUGGGGAAGCUUUGAAGCCGGACAAUAAAAAUAGAAUAAUUUGUUGAGUCACUGAUGUCAUGGAUGACGUCAUUUCAUCCACGGCACUACGAUGUGCUGGUCCUUUGGUUACGACUCGGACGGUUGCCUCCUUAAUAGUGUGUUAAAAAAAAGCUUUCGACAAAAAAAAACAGCGGUUCAAACCGAACACGUACAGCUCUAGGUAAGAGGUGCUUUGAAUCAAAGAAUUCGAGAGAGACAUAUGGGUGAUAUUUAUAUAAGUAGUAUCUGGCGCUACGCAAAAAGGUUCAUCUCUUCGCCCACGUGACAUGAUCGAGUUGCUGCUUCGCUCUAGGUGUGUUGUAUCGUAGGCUUGAGAUGCACGGGGAAUUAUCGCCGGAGCGCCAACACGUGGCAGCGGCAAAUGAGUGUGAAAAUUAUGCAUGUGGUCUGAAUAGUG